UUCCAGUCAAUAUCUUGCAAUACAACUUAAAAAUUAGAAUAUUCUUUGGAGCUCAUGAAAGUUAUUAGUUUGAUUUCCUUAUUAAUGAAUAACUCUACUGUAAAUACCACCAAAGGACAGAAUUCAGUUUUCUUGAUACAGCCUAAAUUUGUUAGUCAGUCAAUGAUAGUAAUAAUGACAAUGAUCAUCAUAGCUAGCAUUUAUAUAGUGCUUUAAAGGGAGAGUGUUGGGAUGACUAGAAAAGGACCCCAGUAGAAGGUGAGAUUUGAGGUGAUUCUCAAAGAAGUCAAGGAAGCCAAGAAGGCAGAACUAGAGGCUAAUGAGGUGGCACAUUGAGUUUUGGCUGAAGCAGAGGAAUGGAAUCCUGGGAAUAUGAAUUUUGUUGCUCAUUUAUAAGAAGAAUGACAAACCAAGUGAGCUCAGGAAUUCGUGAUUAUGAAUCAUGGAGAUCACACUGUAUGAGAGAUCAGAAGCCUUGGGGUUCAUUUACAUUUCUGCUGCUAAUGAACUUCAAGAUUUGGGGUGCUACAAGUCUGAAUGUACAAAUUGCUGACCCUGGUCACCUGCCUACCCAGACAAGUAAAAUCUUACAGUGGCAGCACAAAAGAGGAAAUGAUUGGAAGGAAGAGAGUAAAGAAGGAAUCCUGGAUAAUGAAGAUGGAGAGGACCGAGUAUCAAAUCUAUAUCCUUGGGUCAGUGCAGCUGGUAUAAUUACAAUCACACUGCAGUUCCCCAUUACAUUGAAAGGAUUAGGACUUUUUCAGUUUUUCAGUAUUUCUAAGAUGCUCUGCAUUCUCUGAAUGUCUAGUAAGAAUCGACUUUAUUUGUACCUCUUGGAUUUUGACAGGUAAUUUCUGUCUGAGUCGAAAGAGACUUCUAUCACUUUUGCCAUUCUUGGCCAUAACUGAUAUCAAACUAAGUGGAUAACAGUGACCUUGGGAGUCAGUGGACAUUUGGGAAUAGAAAAGGAGAAAAUGAGCCCUGUAUUUGUUACCCUGAAAGCAGGAGGUAGUGGGUGGUAGUUUUCAUUUCUUUAAGUGAGUUAAAACAUAGAUAAAAACAAUGCUUCGGGUUCCUGUUGUAAAACAAGACUAGGGGCUAUAUUAUGAUCCAUUGAAAC
RNAcentral lists this long non-coding RNA (1120 nucleotides) under Monodelphis domestica (gray short-tailed opossum). RNAcentral's name for it is "lncRNA (ENSMODG00000032153.2)". Lineage: Eukaryota; Metazoa; Chordata; Mammalia; Didelphimorphia; Didelphidae. The record is from RNAcentral.